RNAcentral lists this ribosomal RNA (1163 nucleotides) under human gut metagenome. RNAcentral describes it as "bacterial SSU rRNA". It matches the Rfam family "Bacterial small subunit ribosomal RNA", at positions 302 to 1470 of the family's 1533-position model. The record is from RNAcentral.
GUACGGCCACAUUGGAACUGAGAGACGGUCCAGACUCCUACGGGAGGCAGCAGUGGGGAAUAUUGGGCAAUGGGGGCAACCCUGACCCAGCGACGCCGCGUGAGGGAAGACAGCCUUCGGGUUGUAAACCUCUGUUGCAGGGGAAGAAGGACGUGACGGUACCCUGCGAGGAAGCUCCGGCUAACUACGUGCCAGCAGCCGCGGUAAUACGUAGGGAGCGAGCGUUAUCCGGAAUUACUGGGCGUAAAGGGCGCGUAGGCGGUGACUCAAGUCGUUCGUUAAAUAUUGAGGCUUAACCUCAAGGAGCGGCCGAAACUGAGACACUGGAGACACAGAGAGGCAAACAGAAUUCCUGGUGUAGCGGUGAAAUGCGUAGAUAUCAGGAAGAAUACCGGUGGCGAAGGCGGUUUGCUGGAUGUGAUCUGACGCUGAAGCGCGAAAGCCGGGGGAGCGAACGGGAUUAGAUACCCCGGUAGUCCCGGCAGUAAACGAUGUAUGCUGGGUGUGGCCGUAGCGAUACAGCCGUGCCGAAGUUAACGCGAUAAGCAUACCGCCUGGGGAGUACGGUCGCAAGAUUGAAACUCAAAGGAAUUGACGGGGGCCCGCACAAGCGGUGGAGCACGUGGUUUAAUUCGAUGCAAACCGAAGAACCUUACCUGGACUUGACAUACACGUAGUAGCGAAUCGAAAGAGGAGCGAGGCAUCCUUCGGGAUGCCAGCGUGAACAGGUGCUGCAUGGCUGUCGUCAGCUCGUGUCGUGAGAUGUUGGGUUAAGUCCCGCAACGAGCGCAACCCCUGUUGCCGGUUGCUAACGCGCAAAGGCGAGCACUCCGGCGAGACUGCCAUCGACAAGAUGGAGGAAGGUGGGGACGACGUCAAGUCAUCAUGGCCCUUAUGUCCAGGGCGACACACAUGCUACAAUGGCUGGUACAGAGAGAAGCGAAGCCGAGAGGCCGAGCAGAUCCCAUCAAAGCCAGUCCCAGUUCGGAUUGCAGUCUGCAACUCGACUGCAUGAAGUUGGAAUCGCUAGUAAUCGCGGAUCAGCCAAGCCGCGGUGAAUACGUUCCCGGGCCUUGUACACACCGCCCGUCACACCAUCCGAGUUGGGUGCUCUCGAAGUCGGAGGCUUAACCGCAAGGAAAGAUCCGCCUAAAGAGUGUCCG